CGGAGGGUGCAAGCGUUAUCCGGAUUUACUGGGUUUAAAGGGUGUGUAGGCGGGCUAUUAAGUCAGUGGUGAAAUCUCCGAGCUCAACUUGGAAACUGCCAUUGAUACUAUUAGUCUUGAAUUUUGUUGAGGUAGGCGGAAUAAGUCAUGUAGCGGCGAAAUGCUUAGAUAUGACUUAGAACACCAAUUGCGAAGGCAGCUUGCUAAACAAACAUUGACGCUGAGGCACGAAAGCGUGGGGAUCAAACAGGAUUAGAUACCCUGGUAGUCCACGCCCUAAACGAUGAUUACUCGACAUACGCGAUACACAGUGUGUGUCUGAGCGAAAGCAUUAAGUAAUCCACCUGGGAAGUACGACCGCAAGGUUG
This 368-nucleotide ribosomal RNA is filed under the name uncultured organism. Its description in RNAcentral is "bacterial SSU rRNA". It matches the Rfam family "Bacterial small subunit ribosomal RNA", at positions 526 to 896 of the family's 1533-position model. The record is from RNAcentral.